Molecule: ribosomal RNA, 468 nt
Filed under: Alkalihalobacillus alcalophilus
Lineage: Bacteria; Bacillati; Bacillota; Bacilli; Caryophanales; Bacillaceae
Description: bacterial SSU rRNA
Rfam family: Bacterial small subunit ribosomal RNA
Source: RNAcentral
CGUGAGUGAUGAAGGUUUUCGGAUCGUAAAGCUCUGUUGUUAGGGAAGAACAAGUGCCGUUCGAAUAGGGCGGCACCUUGACGGUACCUAACCAGAAAGCCACGGCUAACUACGUGCCAGCAGCCGCGGUAAUACGUAGGUGGCAAGCGUUGUCCGGAAUUAUUGGGCGUAAAGCGCGCGCAGGCGGUCUCUUAAGUCUGAUGUGAAAGCCCACGGCUCAACCGUGGAGGGUCAUUGGAAACUGGGGGACUUGAGUACAGAAGAGGAAAGUGGAAUUCCACGUGUAGCGGUGAAAUGCGUAGAUAUGUGGAGGAACACCAGUGGCGAAGGCGACUUUCUGGUCUGUAACUGACGCUGAGGCGCGAAAGCGUGGGGAGCAAACAGGAUUAGAUACCCUGGUAGUCCACGCCGUAAACGAUGAGUGCUAAGUGUUAGAGGGUUUCCGCCCUUUAGUGCUGCAGCUAACGC